UACAGAGGGUGCGAGCGUUAAUCGGAAUUACUGGGCGUAAAGCGCGCGUAGACGGUUUUGUAAGUCAGAUGUGAAAUCCCCGGGCUCAACCUGGGAACUGCAUUUGAUACUGCAUGGCUAGAGUACGGUAGAGGGAAGCGGAAUUUCCGGUGUAGCGGUGAAAUGCGUAGAUAUCGGAAGGAACACCAGUGGCGAAAGCGGCUUCCUGGACCAGUACUGACGUUCAUGUGCGAAAGCGUGGGGAGCAAACAGG
RNAcentral lists this ribosomal RNA (253 nucleotides) under uncultured bacterium. RNAcentral describes it as "partial 16S ribosomal RNA". It matches the Rfam family "Bacterial small subunit ribosomal RNA", at positions 524 to 776 of the family's 1533-position model. The record is from RNAcentral.